RNAcentral lists this ribosomal RNA (268 nucleotides) under uncultured bacterium. RNAcentral's name for it is "partial 16S ribosomal RNA". It matches the Rfam family "Bacterial small subunit ribosomal RNA", at positions 526 to 779 of the family's 1533-position model. The record is from RNAcentral.
CGGAGGGGCGUAGCGUUGUUCGGUAAGUUAACUGGGCGGUAAAAGACGCGACGUAGGCGGACGUGGAAGUUAGGGGUGGAAAUACCCGGGGCGUCAACCUCGGAACUGCCUUCAAAACUAAUCAGUCUGGAGUUCGAGAGAGGUGAGUGGAAUUCCGAGUGUAGAGGUGAAAUUCGUAGAUAAUUCGGAGGAAACGACCAGUGGCGAAGGCGGCUCACUGGCUCGAUACUGACGCUGAGGUGCGAAAAGCGUGGGAGCAAACAGGAUU